Cyprinus carpio carpio is the source of this 1318-nucleotide long non-coding RNA. The record is from Ensembl. NCBI's taxonomy places the organism in Eukaryota, Metazoa, Chordata, Actinopteri, Cypriniformes, Cyprinidae.
CGACUUUAUUCAACAAUUCCUCUCCUCUGUGUCUCUCUAAAUCAGCGUAGCGCCAUUUUGGCAAAUCUGAGCUGUACGCAGAUGGCGUACGCUCUUCUGUAUCAGCCGCGCCACAAGGAUACAUUUUUUAUGUGUAUUUACGCUUUUGUUUGAAAGCAAAUAAUGCAUUGUGCAGCGCGGCUGACACAGAAUAGCGUACGCAGUUCACGAGUUCAGCUCAGAUUACCCAAAAUGGUGCUACGCUGAUUUGGAGAGACACAGAGGAGAGGAAUUGUUGAAUAAAGUCGUUAUUUUUGUUUUCUUCGUGUACAAAAAGUAUUCUUGUCGUUUCAUAACAUUACAGUUGAAUCACUGAUUGGCAGAUGGAGCAUUCUGACGAUGCUUUUCAUAUUUUCCUGGACCUUGAGUCUCAAGCCUACCGGUUUUCAUCCAAAAUAUCUUAAAUUGUGUUCCGAAGACAAGGGAAGCUUUUAUGGGUUUGGAACGAAAUGGGGGUAAGUGAUUAAUGACAAAAUUUUAUUUUGGGAUGGGGCAACUCUUUAAUGACUUGCAAUAUUGGCAAAUAAAGUUAUACUCAUUUGCUGCUGUGUAACUUUGGAAAGAAAAUGCAUCUGAUUCAUUUUAUGAAAGCUCAUUCUAAAACCAGUUGCUAUAACUGUGCUCUGCUUACAACACUGACAAACAUGUCCUUUGAUUUGGGUAGGGUUUUUACCCUAUGAUUAUCAGUGUCUUCAAAUGUCUGGACAUAUUUUAUUUAGGCUGCUCUUUCAGACACCAGCAUCUAAGGUAUGUUUUAUAUGACCUUGAAUGCCUUUGUGUGAUUAUCUGCAGUUCAGAUGUUGUGAUUAUGUGCACAUAAUUAUGUAAAGCAACUUCUGUCUGCAGAAUAUUUGAUACGCUAUGAUUGGAUACUCCAAAUAUAACAAUGAUUCAUGUCCACAAGCAAAACUUUAUAAGGUUGCUGUAAAAUGAAAUGUUUCAGGACAAUAAUAAUUAUAAUUUACUGCAAUUUGACCUUUACAGUUGGUCUAUAACUUUGCGGAGAACAUAUGAUCAAACUACUUUAAAUGUAUAUCAAUAGGAAAGCUUAACUGUUCAGCAUACAUUUACAAUGCUAGAUGUUUAGAAAUUGUUGGGAUGUUUUACACCAUUGUUCUACGUUGUGACAUUAAAGGAAUUUGAUAGCCUUCAGGUAUUUCAGUGGCAUGUUAACAUGUUAGACUUUGGCACUCCUUCCAAAAAUAAUGUUUUAUAUAACCUGCUGAAAUGUUUUAUUGCAUUUAUAAUGGUGUACAAUAAAAAGAAAACACUUUUAUGA